UACGUAGGGAGCAAGCGUUGUCCGGAAUCAUUGGGCGUAAAGCGCGCGUAGGCGGCCCUGUAAGUCCGUUGUGAAAGUCAAAGGCUCAACCUUUGAAAGCCGAUGGAUACUGCAGGGCUAGAGUCCGGAAGAGGCGAGUGGAAUUCCUGGUGUAGCGGUGAAAUGCGUAGAUAUUGGGAGGAACACCGGUGGCGAAGGCGGCCCCCUGGACCGGUACCGACGCUGAGGCGCGAAAGCGUGGGUAGCAAACGGC
Molecule: ribosomal RNA, 253 nt
Filed under: uncultured prokaryote
Description: partial 16S ribosomal RNA
Rfam family: Bacterial small subunit ribosomal RNA
Source: RNAcentral